GCUUGUCUCAAAGAUUAAGCCAUGCAUGUCUAAGUAUAAGCCUUUGUACGGCGAAACUGCGAAUGGCUCAUUAAAACAGUUAUAGUUUAUUCGAUAAUCAAUUGCUACAUGGAUAACUGUAGUAAUUCUAGAGCUAAUACAUGCGUCAACACCUGACUUAACGGAAGGGUAGUGUUUAUUAGAUACAAAAUCAACAUCACUGUUGGUGAUUCAUAAUAACCAAGCGAAUCGCACGGCUCGUCCGGCGAUAGAUCGUUCAAGUUUCUGACCUAUCAGCUUUCGACGGUAGGGUAUUGGCCUACCGUGGCAAUGACGGGUAACGGAGAAUUAGGGUUCGAUUCCGGAGAGGGAGCCUGAGAAACGGCUACCACAUCUAAGGAAGGCAGCAGG
Molecule: ribosomal RNA, 390 nt
Filed under: uncultured Prorocentrum
Lineage: Eukaryota; Dinophyceae; Prorocentrales; Prorocentraceae
Description: partial small subunit ribosomal RNA
Rfam family: Eukaryotic small subunit ribosomal RNA
Source: RNAcentral